GACGAACGCUGGCGGCGUGCUUAACACAUGCAAGUCGAACGGAAAGGCCCUGCUUGCAGGGUACUCGAGUGGCGAACGGGUGAGUAACACGUGGGUGAUCUGCUCUGCACUUCGGGAUAAGCCUGGGAAACUGGGUCUAAUACCGGAUAGGAGCCAUUUUUAGUGUGAUGGUUGGAAAGUUUUCUCGGUGUAGGAUGAGCUCGCGGCCUAUCAGCUUGUUGGUGGGGUAAUGGCCUACCAAGGCGGCGACGGGUAGCCGGCCUGAGAGGGUGGACGGCCACAUUGGGACUGAGAUACGGCCCAGACUCCUACGGGAGGCAGCAGUGGGGAAUAUUGCACAAUGGGCGCAAGCCUGAUGCAGCGACGCCGCGUGGGGGAUGACGGCCUUCGGGUUGUAAACUCCUUUCGCUAGGGACGAAGCUUUUUGUGACGGUACCUAGAUAAGAAGCACCGGCUAACUACGUG
This 465-nucleotide ribosomal RNA is filed under the name uncultured bacterium. Its description in RNAcentral is "partial 16S ribosomal RNA". It matches the Rfam family "Bacterial small subunit ribosomal RNA", at positions 28 to 507 of the family's 1533-position model. The record is from RNAcentral.